RNAcentral lists this ribosomal RNA (1724 nucleotides) under Proteus mirabilis. RNAcentral's name for it is "partial 23S ribosomal RNA". It matches the Rfam family "Bacterial large subunit ribosomal RNA", at positions 1223 to 2925 of the family's 2925-position model. The record is from RNAcentral. Lineage: Bacteria; Pseudomonadati; Pseudomonadota; Gammaproteobacteria; Enterobacterales; Morganellaceae.
GUUGGGUAGGGGAGCGUUCUGUAAGCCUGCGAAGGUGUACUGUGAGGUAUGCUGGAGGUAUCAGAAGUGCGAAUGCUGACAUAAGUAACGAUAAUGCGGGUGAAAAACCCGCACGCCGGAAGACCAAGGGUUCCUGUCCAACGUUAAUCGGGGCAGGGUGAGUCGACCCCUAAGGCGAGGCUGAAAAGCGUAGUCGAUGGGAAACGGGUUAAUAUUCCCGUACUGGUGGUAACUGCGAUGGGGGAACGGAGAAGGCUAGGUUGUCCGGGCGACGGUCGUCCCGGUUCAAGCAGGUAGGCAGAGUGAUUAGGCAAAUCCGGUCACUUAAUGCUGAGAUGUGAUGACGAACCACCAAGGUGGUGAAGCAAUUGAUGCCCCGCUUCCAGGAAAAGCCUCUAAGCUUCAGGUUACCAACAAUCGUACCCCAAACCGACACAGGUGGUCAGGUAGAGAAUACUCAGGCGCUUGAGAGAACUCGGGUGAAGGAACUAGGCAAAAUGGUGCCGUAACUUCGGGAGAAGGCACGCUGGCGGUAGGUAAAGUCCCUUGCGGACGGCGCUGAAGCCAGUCGAAGAUACCAGCUGGCUGCAACUGUUUAUUAAAAACACAGCACUGUGCAAACACGAAAGUGGACGUAUACGGUGUGACGCCUGCCCGGUGCUGGAAGGUUAAUUGAUGGGGUCAGCCGUAAGGCGAAGCUCCUGAUCGAAGCCCCAGUAAACGGCGGCCGUAACUAUAACGGUCCUAAGGUAGCGAAAUUCCUUGUCGGGUAAGUUCCGACCUGCACGAAUGGCGUAAUGAUGGCCAGGCUGUCUCCACCCGAGACUCAGUGAAAUUGAACUCGCUGUGAAGAUGCAGUGUACCCGCGGCAAGACGGAAAGACCCCGUGAACCUUUACUAUAGCUUGACACUGAACAUUGAGCCUUGAUGUGUAGGAUAGGUGGGAGGCUUUGAAGUGUGGACGCCAGUCUGCAUGGAGCCAACCUUGAAAUACCACCCUUUAACGUUUGAUGUUCUAACCUAGGCCCAUAAACUGGGUCGGGGACCGUGUCUGGUGGGUAGUUUGACUGGGGCGGUCUCCUCCUAAAGAGUAACGGAGGAGCACGAAGGUUGGCUAAGCAUGGUCGGACAUCAUGCGGUUAGUGCAAAGGCAUAAGCCAGCUUGACUGCGAGAGUGACGGCUCGAGCAGGUACGAAAGUAGGUCUUAGUGAUCCGGUGGUUCUGAAUGGAAGGGCCAUCGCUCAACGGAUAAAAGGUACUCCGGGGAUAACAGGCUGAUACCGCCCAAGAGUUCAUAUCGACGGCGGUGUUUGGCACCUCGAUGUCGGCUCAUCACAUCCUGGGGCUGAAGUAGGUCCCAAGGGUAUGGCUGUUCGCCAUUUAAAGUGGUACGCGAGCUGGGUUUAGAACGUCGUGAGACAGUUCGGUCCCUAUCUGCCGUGGGCGUUGGAAGAUUGAGAGGGGUUGCUCCUAGUACGAGAGGACCGGAGUGAACGCACCACUGGUGUUCGGGUUGUCAUGCCAAUGGCAUUGCCCGGUAGCUAAGUGCGGAAGAGAUAACCGCUGAAAGCAUCUAAGCGGGAAACUUGCCUCGAGAUGAGUCUUCCCUGUCGCUUUAAGCGACCUAAAGGAACGUUUAAGACUAAGACGUUGAUAGGCUGGGUGUGUAAGCGUAGCGAUACGUUGAGCUAACCAGUACUAAUGAACCGUGAGGCUUAACCUG